GGACGAAAGUCGGGACUAGUGAUCCGCGGUGGCUUGUGGAAGCGCCGUCGCUCAACGGAUAAAAGGUAACCCCGGGGACGUAACAGGCUGAUCUUCCCCUAAGAGUCCAUAUCGACGGGAUGGUUUGGCACCUCGAUGUCGGCUCGUCGCAUCCUGGGGCUGGAGUCGGUCCCAAGGGUUGGGCUGUUCGCCCAUUAAAGCGGUACGCGAGCUGGGUUUAGAACGUCGUGAGACAGUUCGGUCCCUAUCCGCUGUGCGCGUAGGAGUCUUGAGAAGGGCUGACCCUAGUACGAGAGGACCGGGACGGACGAACCUCUGGUGUGCCAGUUGUUCUGCCAAGGGCAUGGCUGGUUGGCUAC
Molecule: non-coding RNA, 359 nt
Filed under: Streptomyces afghaniensis 772
Lineage: Bacteria; Bacillati; Actinomycetota; Actinomycetes; Kitasatosporales; Streptomycetaceae
Description: Bacterial large subunit ribosomal RNA
Rfam family: Bacterial large subunit ribosomal RNA
Source: Rfam by way of RNAcentral